RNAcentral lists this ribosomal RNA (1492 nucleotides) under uncultured Bordetella sp. RNAcentral describes it as "partial 16S-23S ribosomal RNA intergenic spacer". It matches the Rfam family "Bacterial small subunit ribosomal RNA". The record is from RNAcentral. Lineage: Bacteria; Pseudomonadati; Pseudomonadota; Betaproteobacteria; Burkholderiales; Alcaligenaceae.
GAGUUCGAUCAUGGCUCAGAUUGAACGCUGGCGGGAUACUUUACAUGCAAGUCGAACGGCAGCACGGACUUCGGUCUGGUGGCGAGUGGCGAACGGGUGAGUAAUGUAUCGGAACGUGCCUGAUAGCGGGGGAUAACUACGCGGCGUAGCUAAUACCACAUACGCCCUUCGAAGGGGAAAGCAGGGGACCUUCGGGCCUCGCACUGUGGAAGCGGCCGAUAUCGGAUUAGCGUAGUUGGUGGGGUAACGGCUCACCAAGGCGACGAUAUGUGUAGCUGGUUUGAGAGGACGACCAGCCACACUGGGAUUGAGACACGGCCCAGACUCCUACGGGAGGCAGCAGUGGGGAAUUUUGGACAAUGGAAACCCUGAUCCAGCCAUCCGCGUGUGCGAUGAAGGCCUUCGGGUUGUAAAGCACUUUUUGGCAGGAAAGAAACGGCACGGGAUAAUACCCCGUGCAACUGACAGUACCUGCAGGGAAUAAGCACCGGCUAACUACGUGCCAGCAGCCGCGGUAAUACGUAGGGUGCAAGCGUUAAUCGGAAUUACUGGGCGUAAAGCGUGCGCAGGCGGUUCGGAAGAAAGAUCUUGAAAUCCCAGAGCUUAACUUUGGAACUGCAUUUUUAACUACCGAGCUAGAGUGUGUCAGAGGGAGGUGGAAUUCCGCGUGUAGCAGUGAAAUGCGUAGAUAUGCGGAGGAACACCGAUGGCGAAGGCAGCCUCCUGGGAUAACACUGACGCUGUCUGCGAAAGCUGAUGGGGAGCAAACGGAUUAGAAUGCCCUGGUAGUCCACGCCCUAAACGAUGUCAACUAGCUGUUGGGGCCUUCGGGCCUUGGUAGCGCAAUAACGCGUGAAGUUGACCGCCUGGGGAGUACGGUCGCAGAUUAAAACUCAAAGGAAUUGACGAGGGGACCCGCACAAGCGGUGUGGAUGAUGUCAGUUAAUUCGAUGCAACGCGAAAAACCUUACCCUUGACAUGUCUGGAAUCCCGAAGAGAUUUAGAGUGCUCGCAAGAGAGAACCGGAACACAGGUGCUGCAUGGCUGUCGUCAGCUCGUGUCGUGAGAUGUUGGGUUAAGUCCCGCAACGAGCGCAACGCUGUCAUUAGUUGCUACGAAAGGGCACUCUAAUGGGACUGCCGGUGACAAACCGGAGGAAGGUGGGGAUGACGUCAAGUCCUCAUGGCCCUUAUGGGUAGAACCACACGUCAUACAAUGGUCGAGACAGAGGGUCGCCAACCCGCGAGGGGGGAGCCAAUCCAGAAACCCGAUCGUAGUCCGGAUCAUGAUCUGCAACUCGACUGCGUGAAGUCGGAAUCGCUAGUAAUCGCGGAUCAGCAUGUCGCGGUGAAUACGUUCCCGGUGCUUGUACACACCGCCCGUCACACCAUGGGAGUGCGGUUUUGCAGAAGUAGUUAGCCUAACCGUAAGGGGCGAUUACCACGGUAGGAUUCAUGGGGUGAAGUCGUAACAAGGUAGCUCUGAGCAAUGC